UACGUAGGGCGCAAGCGUUGUCCGGAAUUAUUGGGCGUAAAGAGCUCGUAGGCGGCUUGUCACGUCGGGUGUGAAAGCCCGGGGCUUAACCCCGGGUCUGCAUUCGAUACGGGCUAGCUAGAGUGUGGUAGGGGAGAUCGGAAUUCCUGGUGUAGCGGUGAAAUGCGCAGAUAUCAGGAGGAACACCGGUGGCGAAGGCGGCGACCUGGUCCAUUACUGACGCUGAGGCGCGACAGCGUGGGGAGCAAACAGG
RNAcentral lists this ribosomal RNA (253 nucleotides) under uncultured bacterium. RNAcentral describes it as "partial 16S ribosomal RNA". It matches the Rfam family "Bacterial small subunit ribosomal RNA", at positions 524 to 776 of the family's 1533-position model. The record is from RNAcentral.